AAACCUUUACACUGCACGCAAGUGCGAUAAGGGGACCCCAAGUGCGAGGGCAUAUAGUCCUCGCUUUUCACGACUGUAAGGCGGUCGUGGAAUAAGAGCUGGGCAAGACCGGUGCCAGCCGCCGCGGUAAUACCGGCAGCUCAAGUGAUGACCGAUAUUAUUGGGCCUAAAGCGUCCGUAGCCGGCCACGAAGGUUCAUCGGGAAAUCCGCCAGCUCAACUGGCGGGCGUCCGGUGAAAACCACGUGGCUUGGGACCGGAAGGCUCGAGGGGUACGUCCGGGGUAGGAGUGAAAUCCCGUAAUCCUGGACGGACCACCGAUGGCGAAAGCACCUCGAGAAGACGGAUCCGACGGUGAGGGACGAAAGCUAGGGUCUCGAACCGGAUUAGAUACCCGGGUAGUCCUAGCUGUAAACGAUGCUCGCUAGGUGUGACACAGGCUACGAGCCUGUGUUGUGCCGUAGGGAAGCCGAGAAGCGAGCCGCCUGGGAANACUCCGCAAGA
Molecule: ribosomal RNA, 503 nt
Filed under: Haloferax volcanii
Lineage: Archaea; Methanobacteriati; Methanobacteriota; Halobacteria; Halobacteriales; Haloferacaceae
Description: bacterial SSU rRNA
Rfam family: Archaeal small subunit ribosomal RNA
Source: RNAcentral